Molecule: ribosomal RNA, 445 nt
Filed under: uncultured bacterium
Lineage: Bacteria
Description: partial 16S ribosomal RNA
Rfam family: Bacterial small subunit ribosomal RNA
Source: RNAcentral
GUGAGGAAUAUUGCGCAAUGGAGGCAACUCUGACGCAGCCAUGCCGCGUGCAGGAAGAAGGCGCUACGCGUUGUAAACUGCUUUUAACCGGGAAGAAACCCCAGGACGUGUCCUGGGUUGACGGUACCGGAGGAAUAAGCACCGGCUAACUUCGUGCCAGCAGCCGCGGUAAUACGAAGGGUGCAAGCGUUAUCCGGAUUCAUUGGGUUUUAAGGGUGCGUAGGCGGAGCGUUAAGUCAGUGGUGAAAUCCUGCAGCUUAACUGUAGACUUGCCAUUGAUACUGGCGCUCUUGAGUGCGCUUGAAGUGGGCGGAAUGUGCCGUGUAGCGGUGAAAUGCUUAGAUAUGGCACAGAACACCAAUUGCGAAGGCAGCUCACUAAGGCGAUACUGACGCUGAGGCACGAAAGCGUGGGGAUCGAACAGGAUUAGAUACCCGUGUAGUCC